RNAcentral lists this ribosomal RNA (253 nucleotides) under uncultured bacterium. RNAcentral describes it as "partial 16S ribosomal RNA". It matches the Rfam family "Bacterial small subunit ribosomal RNA", at positions 524 to 776 of the family's 1533-position model. The record is from RNAcentral.
UACGGAGGGUGCAAGCGUUAAUCGGAAUUACUGGGCGUAAAGCGCACGCAGGCGGUCAGAUAAGUCAGAUGUGAAAGCCCCGGGCUCAACCUGGGAACUGCAUUUGAAACUGUCUGACUAGAGUCUUGUAGAGGGGGGUAGAAUUCCAGGUGUAGCGGUGAAAUGCGUAGAGAUCUGGAGGAAUACCGGUGGCGAAGGCGGCCCCCUGGACAAAGACUGACGCUCAGGUGCGAAAGCGUGGGGAGCAAACAGG